UCCAAUAGCCAUACCUGCUUGUCAAUGCCCAAUCUCGUCAGAUCUUGGAAGCUAAGCAAGACCAGGCCUGGUUAUUACUUGGAUGGGAGACCGCUAGGACAGUGAGGCAGCUGUGGCU
RNAcentral lists this ribosomal RNA (118 nucleotides) under Periophthalmus magnuspinnatus. Lineage: Eukaryota; Metazoa; Chordata; Actinopteri; Gobiiformes; Gobiidae. The record is from RNAcentral.